GUUCCAGGUGGUGGGGAUUAGUUUUUCCUUUUCAGUUCUUCACCAGUCCACCAGAGGGAGCCAUCGGGUCACUCUGCUGGAGAGGCGUGCCCGCAGACUSUCAACUAUCCGCACCUGAGGGGAAUCAUCGUCUGGAGGAGUAUAUAACCAGCAGACAGCCAACACUUCCUUGCCAGAGUGUUUGCCAGUUUUUGGAACCCUUUGAGGCCCACCAGUCCAGGAGAAACCAUCUGUGACGCCUCUGCUGCCGGCUCUGCUGCUCCCCUGUGGGGACACACCUGACCUGCCACCCUCCAACGCCUGGUCCUUCCCCAACCUGCCUCCAUAGCUCUCUCCACUGUCUGGAACCCCGUUCCUCCACCCGUCAUUCUCCACUGGUUUUCCAAACKCACCCGGACUCCGGCCCGCUGACCUCUCUAGUCGAGCUUCCUUGUUUGAUUUUUUUGUAUUUUACAAUAAACACCCUUUAC
Poecilia reticulata (guppy) is the source of this 470-nucleotide non-coding RNA. The record is from RefSeq and is a predicted model, not a curated record. NCBI's taxonomy places the organism in Eukaryota, Metazoa, Chordata, Actinopteri, Cyprinodontiformes, Poeciliidae.